GCACUUCGCCUAGCUAACAGCUCGUCUGCAGCUUUCUUAGCUCCUUGUUCGUCUGUAGCUUUCCUAGCUCGCAGUUCGUCUAGCUAGCACCUAGUCUGCACUUUUCCUAGCUCACAGUCCGUCUGCAGUUUCUCUGACUCGUAGUUCGCCCAGCUAACAGCUCGUCGGCAGCCUUCCUAGCUUGCUAUUGCCCGCCUAACAGCUCGUCAACAGCUUGGAGUUCUUCAACAAGUCUCCUAGCAGCUUUCCUAGCUCACAACUUGUCAACAGCUAACAUUUUGAGUUCGAGAUAGCAACACCCGUCAAGAACAGAAUCUCGUAGCACCAAGAAAAAACAAGCCUUACUUUCAAAAGAUACGGAUUAGUCAGUUUAGAUGCGAAAGCAGCUGGCUCGGUCACACCAUUCAUGAAGCUCGUGGCAUUAACUCUUAACCAACGAGCUGGGGGGCUAACUGUUGGGGUCGGAUUCCCCCACAAGCAAGACCGAGCCAAACAGUCUAAGAAUAACAAUCACCUCAUGGUUAAACAUAUGAUUGGCCCCUAGCCUAGAACAAAGCACCUCGGGACCUUAUUCGAUCGACCGUCCCGAAGAGAGUUUGUAAAAUGGCUCGGGUGUUAAUCAUAUGAACACAGCCCGAGCCAAUCGCGAGAACGCUGCGGGAAACAUCUAUAUCGGCUCGGGAGACAGCCAACUGAGCUUAAUGGACAGUCAUCAAGCGCGCCCCGAGCCGGUACAUACCGUUUGCCCCGAAGCCACCUCUCAAACGACCACCGAGCCGUGAAGAACACGCGAGGCAAAGACUUAAGGAGAAUCUUUGAAGAUAAUGUUGAAAUCAGGAAAUCUCCCCAAAACCUCCGAAGAAUAAGGAGAAUAUCCUUAGGACGAUUAUCCUCUAGAACCGACCUAAGGAUAAAUAAGAAUCUUCCGAAGAAUAUCGCUAAGGGGGCGGUUUAAGGAUCCUAUAUAAAGUGCCUCAGGGACUUCACAAGAGGGGGAUCUUUGGAUACUCACAAGAACACAUAACUUUAUACCUAUUGAGAACUACGAAUGGCUUGAUCCCUUCACAGGGUACGUAAGCAAUCCAUCAUGGAUGCAGCUAUACCUUUUUAAAACCCUAACUCUUUUUCUGUUCUUGAGCAAAACCCUAAUGUAUUUCAUAAGAGAUUAGAACAUCUUUUGUAAUCGAGUCUUGGAUAGAAUACCUAAUGAAGAGAAAUUACUAGAUUUGUUUUCCCUCUCUAAACAAAUCUAUUGUGUGAAUCCUUGGUUCAACACAACUCAAGUUUUUUCUCAUCUAAUUUGAAAAUGUUUCUGAGACAUCAACAAAUGUAUGAGGAGAGGUUUCUCAGACACAUGGAGGUGCUGCAACAAACACGAUCGACGAAAUAUGAGCCAACAAAGAUGGGAAAUCAGAAUCUCACGGGUCAGGAUUUUGAUCAUGUGCAACAAAUGAUCGAUAUAUGGAGGAGGUCGAAGAUCAAUCCCAAGGAAGCUAUUUAGAAGCUUCCAGUUAUCCAGAGCUCAAGAUCUGAACACAACACCUUAAAAAACACCAAAAACUCUCACGGGAAUUUUGUCGAACAGGUGGUGUGCAUCUCAACCCAUAACGUUUCUUAUGAUUCUGGGAUUUCUAAAGGCUCGACUGCAACUCAAAACCUGAGGAAA
Molecule: small RNA, 1666 nt
Filed under: Arabidopsis thaliana (thale cress)
Lineage: Eukaryota; Viridiplantae; Streptophyta; Magnoliopsida; Brassicales; Brassicaceae
Description: ATSL092450
Source: RNAcentral